UUGUCUUCUCCGUUCCCUUAGCCGCCACAACCGCCGCUUCCGAUUCGGGCGAUUCCGGCGGCAAGCGCCGGCGUGGAGCACACCACCGAGCUCGCCUCGCUCGGAUCCAUCCUCCCCUCCAGUAAAUUUCCCCUCUCGGCCUCGACCGCUCGCCCAAAAUCCACGCCCGUGCUAGGGCUUGGCCCUCCGGCACCGGCUUCGUUGUCAGCGCAUCUCCGGCGGUCUCUGACGGCUCUUCUCCGUCGUCUACUGCGCGCCCUCGAUUCUUGAUGGUCCACCUUGAGAAAGGCAUCAUGGAGGACCUCCUCCUGCAGGAUCCACGGACACGGCGCAUCCUGCAGCCGCCGAUCCGGGAUGAGGGCGGGCAUGGCGGCCUUGUCCUGCUCGACGGCAGUGGCGGCGAACACCGGUGCUCCUCCUUGUCAUCGACCUCCAAGGAGGAGCGCCAGUACAGCACAAGCACGCCCCUGUACCCCCUUCUCCCAUCCAGCGGUGUACAGGAUGUCCUCCUCGACAUGGCCGUCCCCAACAGGCUGUCUUUGCUGGAUUAGGUGGAGCAGCAAGUCCAGCACCCUCUUGGCCCCAACCUCAUAUCCUCUAGUGUGUGGAUGAGCUCACCGACGGCUACGUCCUUCGCUCCUAGCGUGAUGCUGGUUUUUGGGAGCAUUUUCAACAAGACAUGGUUGUUGACUUAGGCAUGGACGUUCGGAUCAGUUGCCGAAAAUGCCAGAUGACCUAGUGUUGAUGUUUAAUGGUUAAUGCCUGAUGAGAGCGGGGCCUUGUUUGAUGGGGGAGGCGCUGGCACAGUGUUCUCUGAGACAUACUUGUAAAAUUAACAUUUUUUUGGAUCUUCUAUUUUUGCUCCUGUACAUGUGUAUUUUAAGAUGUGUUUAUGUAAUCUUCUUUCUUUUAUUGACAUGAGCAUAUAUUUGUGCCAAAUUCUUGAAUUUUCAUGUGCCAAAAGAAA
Molecule: long non-coding RNA, 967 nt
Organism: Triticum aestivum (bread wheat)
Lineage: Eukaryota; Viridiplantae; Streptophyta; Magnoliopsida; Poales; Poaceae
Exons: 2
Source: RefSeq, a predicted model, not a curated record